UACGUAGGGUGCGAGCGUUGUCCGGAAUUAUUGGGCGUAAAGAGCUCGUAGGCGGUUUGUCGCGUCGGCCGUGAAAUCUCCACGCUUAACGUGGAGCGUGCGGUCGAUACGGGCAGACUUGAGUUCGGUAGGGGAGACUGGAAUUCCCGGUGUAGCGGUGGAAUGCGCAGAUAUCAGGAGGGACACCAAUAGCGAAGGCAGCUCGCUGGGACGGUACUGACGCUAAGGCGCGAAAGCGUGGGGAGCGAACAGG
RNAcentral lists this ribosomal RNA (253 nucleotides) under uncultured bacterium. Its description in RNAcentral is "partial 16S ribosomal RNA". It matches the Rfam family "Bacterial small subunit ribosomal RNA", at positions 524 to 776 of the family's 1533-position model. The record is from RNAcentral.